AGUAUGAGAAAGCUGCAUCCAUAUUGCAUGGUCAUGACCCCCCAGUUGUUCUGGCCAAGAUUGAUGCCAAUGAAGAGGCGAACAAAGAUCUUGCAACCCAAUAUGAUAUUAAGGGAUUUCCAACUCUUAAAAUUUUGAGAAAUGGAGGGAAGACAAUUCAAGAGUAUAAAGGCCCUCGUGAAGCCGAUGGCAUUGUUGAGUAUUUGAAGAAACA
This 214-nucleotide unclassified non-coding RNA is filed under the name Hevea brasiliensis (rubber tree). The record is from RNAcentral. Lineage: Eukaryota; Viridiplantae; Streptophyta; Magnoliopsida; Malpighiales; Euphorbiaceae.